GCCGUUGUAGCUCAGGGGUAGAGCGUUUCCUUGGUAAGGAAGAGGUCAUGAGUUCAAAUCUCAUCAAUGGCUCAA
This 75-nucleotide transfer RNA is filed under the name Ancylomarina euxina. RNAcentral's name for it is "Ancylomarina sp. M1P tRNA-Thr". It matches the Rfam family "tRNA". Rfam says of the family: Transfer RNA (tRNA) molecules are approximately 80 nucleotides in length. Their secondary structure includes four short double-helical elements and three loops (D, anti-codon, and T loops). Further hydrogen bonds mediate the characteristic L-shaped molecular structure. tRNAs have two regions of fundamental functional importance: the anti-codon, which is responsible for specific mRNA codon recognition, and the 3' end, to which the tRNAs corresponding amino acid is attached (by aminoacyl-tRNA synthetases). tRNAs cope with the degeneracy of the genetic code in two manners: having more than one tRNA (with a specific anti-codon) for a particular amino acid; and 'wobble' base-pairing, i.e. permitting non-standard base-pairing at the 3rd anti-codon position. The record is from RNAcentral. Lineage: Bacteria; Pseudomonadati; Bacteroidota; Bacteroidia; Marinilabiliales; Marinifilaceae.